AUUGAACGCUGGCGGCAGGCCUAACACAUGCAAGUCGAGCGAGUGGCGGACGGGUGAGUAAUGCUUGGGAAUGUCGCUUAUGGAGGGGGAUAACUCCGGGAAACUGUAGCUAAUACCGCGUACCAUAGGAUGAGCCCAAGUGGGAUUAGGUAGUUGGUGAGGUAAAGGCUCACCAAGCCGACGAUCUCUAGCCGGUCUGAGAGGAUGACCAGCCACACUGGGACUGAGACACGGCCCAGACUCCUACGGGAGGCAGCAGUGGGGAAUCUUGCGCAAUGGGGGCAACCUGACGGAGCCAUGCCGCGUGAAUGAAGAAGGCCUUCGGGUUGUAAAGUUCUUUCGGUAGCGAAGCGUUAACUACACAAGAAGCACCGGCUAACUCCGUGCCAGCAGCCGCGGUAAUUC
RNAcentral lists this ribosomal RNA (405 nucleotides) under uncultured bacterium. RNAcentral's name for it is "partial 16S ribosomal RNA". It matches the Rfam family "Bacterial small subunit ribosomal RNA", at positions 30 to 526 of the family's 1533-position model. The record is from RNAcentral.